GUCAUGGUCUUCUAUCUUUUUUCCCAUUCUUACUCGGAGCUGCACACGAUGUGUUGCUUGUGGCUCCCAUCUGGUCAAUUUGGAUUUUAAGCUUAUCUUGUUCUUCCAUUAUUUCUAUUAACGCCUGACACAGUUGACUAUUUAACAGCUUUCCUAUUUCUCACAGCUUUUCCAUAGAAGAAACCUUGUUCCUCAGAUCCUGCACCUCUGUUGAUACUCGUUUAGCUUUAACUUUAGUGUCUGAAUCACUAUCUGUCGGCUCCACAAUCU
This 270-nucleotide long non-coding RNA is filed under the name Panax ginseng (ginseng). Its description in RNAcentral is "long non-coding RNA (PGIN_LNC001154)". Lineage: Eukaryota; Viridiplantae; Streptophyta; Magnoliopsida; Apiales; Araliaceae. The record is from RNAcentral.